Molecule: ribosomal RNA, 1423 nt
Filed under: metagenome
Description: bacterial LSU rRNA
Rfam family: Bacterial large subunit ribosomal RNA
Source: RNAcentral
CAAAAUCCGGGGAUACAAUACUCUGAGGUGUGAUGACGGAUAUAGGCCUUCGGGUCUGUAGAAGUAGCUGAUGCCCUGCUUCCAAGAAAAGCCACUAAGGUUAGGCAAAUAUAAACCGUACCCCAAACCAACACUGGUGGUCAGGUAGAGAAUACUAAGGCGUUGAGAGAACUUGGGUGAAGGAACUCGGCAAAAUAGCACCGUAACUUCGGGAGAAGGUGCGCCACUUUUGGUGAAAGGCCUUGCGCCUCUAGCUUAGAGUGGUCGAAGAAACUAGGUGGCUGCGACUGUUUAUCAAAAACACAGCACUCUGCAAACUCGUAAGAGGAAGUAUAGGGUGUGACGCCUGCCCGGUGCCGGAAGGUUAAUUGAAGGGGUUAUCCUGGUUUACUAGGAGAAGCUCUAGAUCGAAGCCCCGGUAAACGGCGGCCGUAACUAUAACGGUCCUAAGGUAACGAAAUUCCUUGUCGGGUAAGUUCCGACCUGCACGAAUGGCGUAACGAUGGCCACACUGUCUCCACCCAAGACUCAGUGAAGUUGAAAUCGCUGUGAAGAUGCAGUGUACCCGCGGCAAGACGGAAAGACCCCGUGCACCUUUACUAUAGCUUUGCAUUGAACUUUGAAUAAGUUUGUGUAGGAUAGGUGGGAGGCGUUGAAGGGUUCUCGCUAGAGGAUCUGGAGCCAACCUUGAAAUACCACCCUGAUUUGUUUGAAGUUCUAACGCCAACCCAUAAUCUGGGUUGCGGACAGUGUAUGGUGGGUAGUUUGACUGGGGCGGUCUCCUCCCAAAGAGUAACGGAGGAGCGCGAAGGUACCCUCGGCAUGGUCGGAAAUCAUGCUAUGAGUGCAAAAGCAAAAGGGUGCUUGACUGCGAGACAGACAAGUCGAGCAGCUACGAAAGUAGGCUUUAGUGAUCCGGUGGUUCUGUAUGGAAGGGCCAUCGCUCAACGAAUAAAAGGUACGCCGGGGAUAACAGGCUGAUACUUCCCAAGAGUUCACAUCGACGGAAGUGUUUGGCACCUCGAUGUCGGCUCAUCACAUCCUGGGGCUGAAGCAGGUCCCAAGGGUAUGGCUGUUCGCCAUUUAAAGUGGUACGCGAGCUGGGUUCAGAACGUCGUGAGACAGUUCGGUCCCUAUCUGCCGUGGGCGUUGGAAAAUUGAGAAGAGCUGCUCCUAGUACGAGAGGACCGGAGUGGACGUACCGCUGGUGUACCAGUUGUGAUGCCAAUUGCAUUGCUGUUAGCUAAGUACGGAAGGGAUAACCGCUGAAAGCAUCUAAGCGGGAAGCCUCCUUCAAGAUAAGUUUUCCCGGGACAUAAGUCCCCUAAAGGUCCGUUGAAGACUACGACGUAGAUAGGCUGGGUGUGUAAGAGUUGUAAGGCUUUGAGCUAACCAGUACUAAUUGACCGUGCGGCUUGACCAA